GUUGAGUUAGGAUUAGUUUUUCUUACUUAUGGAGCUGACCUUUAAUAAAGCCAUCCGAAGAAGGAGGUAAUUUAUCAAGAAGGCUCGAGACCUUAAAUUCUUCAGAGAGAGAGGUUCCAUUGGUUUGAAGCUUCCUAAGAUAUUCUUGAAAUUGGUGGAGUUGGUCAUUUAUAGGUUUAUCAUCUACCAUAACAUAUCUAAAAAAUGAUGCGAUGUUGAACCGCUCAACACCAGCAUCAGCCAGGCCAUACUCAGAUUCUAGGUUAUCUCAUAAUUCUUUUGCACUUUCUACAGAUAGAUAAAUAUCAUAAAGUAAAUCAGAAAGGGCACUUAGAAUUCUAUCCUUACAAAGAUAAUCUUCUUCAGGGAUGGCAGGAGAGGUUGAACUAGAGAAGGCAGAGGAUUGGUCAAUAAUUGAUCAGAGCUCCAAAGUGGAUCUGGCUUGGGAGACGGUUAAAUCACUGCCCUAAAGGAGAUUUCGGCCCCUUCUCGUGCGAAAGUUUGAGCCGCACACCCUCCUCCAAAGUACAACUCGGAAGUCAAGUACUCCAACGUUCGUCAGUGGCACGAUCUCGAAUGGAUGCCGAUCAGACUCGUCCUCAGCCCAAAUAAUAUUAAAAACUAAACAAGAGAGAGAGAGUGAAGAGAGAAUUUUUUUUGGGAAAGAAGAAGACUCUUGGUGUUUUUUUUUUUCCUAUUGAGAACCGAGGAAAGGGGGGCCUUAAAUAGGCCCAAACAGCUGCGGCAGCUGUGCGUGCGAGAACCGUCUCCAGAAUAGAUGCUCGCGCGUGGAGCUCCUGCGAAACGGCCGUGAAACAAUCGCAUAGCUCGUACAGCUUGCAUAACGGCCAGACGGCAGAAUGUUCACGUGUACUCAACGCGGAAUAUUCACGCGCAUUCGACGUUCUGCGCGAGAAGUUUUGAAACUCCCUCAAAAAAUAAAGUCAACAAUAUGAGGGAAACUAUUUGCAAUUUCUCUUUCCAUUCUGCAGUGGAUUUAUAUUGCAAUGCCCAGAAAAUAGAUUCAAUUGACUCACUGUUGCUUUUGUCUCAUUUUCUGCCUUUUCCUUCGGAUUUUGUUAUUCUGGUGCGGUGUAGGCAAGGAAAUAGUAGAUGAUGAGCUGAAUCCAGGAUGCCUGUCCUCUAUUUUGGGUGUCAAGAUACAAGGCAUUGCUGCUCGGUUUAUGGCACACUAUCUGCACAUCUGUUGCUAGUGUGUAUAUUCUUUUGUUGGGAAUCACGUUGGACAACUGGAAACAGGUUCUGAUCAGGCUGAGCCGCUGAGGUAUCAUCUUUGUGAGAACUCCAACUGGAACGGAUUCAUUAUUCCUCCAGUGUUGUGAGAUACAAAAGCUUUGGCUGCCGAUCAGUUAAUGCAAUGAAGCCUGGACCCACAGCUUAUUACCAAACUCCAAUAUGAAAUUUUGAAUCGUAAGUAACAUAAAUAUGUUUACCAGAUGCUGAGCCUGACCAUCCUUUUUUUCAGUAUUUGAGAACCCUAUUUUGGGAAAACAUGAAUAAUAUUCUACUUUUCUUUGAGUGAAGAUAUUAAUGCUACCAUUCUUGAAAUGCUUCUGUAUGCACUCGUCCCAAGCUGCUGGAUGCUUCAUGUUUAGAAAACAAGAAUGCCAAGUUGGUUUCUUGCAGUGCACGCCAUAGCGCAAUGAUCACAGGCAAAACCUGUAUCUUAUCAUUGUUCAUUUGGAUAAUCCCUGGGAAUUCCUGGUUACUUUCAGUUAUCCACCACUUUUUAUUCAUUACCGUGUGUAUUAAAUAUAUAAAUUUUGUAUUUUCUAAAUAAAAGUCUGGUCAGCCUCUGGAGUUAUUUUAUGAUUAAGUUAUAUGAUUAAUUAAUAAAUAACAUUAUCUAUCCCCAACACCAUACAGAAUUUUCAUAGCUUUAUCUGCAAGCCUUCUAUGUUAUUGUUGUGGUUGUGAUUGUUGAUUCUCUGAUGGUGCAUCAGUGAAAAGACUAGACCUGGGUAAGGUAGGUCCCUCUCCCUCACGCACGCGUGCACACGCAAAAAGCAGCUGCAAUACUCUAUACUCUCAUUAUUGGCAUAUUUGUUCUGUUACAGUUAUUAUAUUAAUAUUCCAGUCGUCAGAGCAGAAACCAUAACUCUCCAGCAUUUUAUAUUUGAUAUCACAGUAGUUACUGCUGGUGCUGUUUCUGCGGUCAGCAUUGCAGUAGCAGCAUCGAUGGGGCAGCCAUUCAAUACGGCUGAGGAUGGGAGUUGUUUUGCUGGGGUUGGAACGAGUAUGGCCCGGUUGGCUUGGGAGUUGGGAGAUGCAAUUGACAGAAAAUUCUCCUCUCUGGUACCAGACAUAUACGUUGGUGCUAGCUGAAUCUCAUACUUGUCUGAUUCUCUCAAGGAUUUGUUUCCUUCACAGAUUUUGUUAAGAGUACAUAGAUUUCACCCAAAACAAAAUAUUUUUCUGUUGCUCAAUAUAUGCAUAUGCGUAUGCACAUGCAUGUUGUUAACUCUUUUCCAGGUCUCACAUGCUCUGCGGUGUGUACUUGUUUUUCCCCCUCUUUUAAGUCCUAAUAUGUGCAUAAAAAUAUUUGUUCUU
This is a non-coding RNA of Elaeis guineensis (African oil palm), 2571 nucleotides long. NCBI's taxonomy places the organism in Eukaryota, Viridiplantae, Streptophyta, Magnoliopsida, Arecales, Arecaceae. The record is from RefSeq and is a predicted model, not a curated record.